ACUCCUGCGGGAGGCAGCAGUAGGGAAUCUUCGGCAAUGGGGGCAACCCUGACCGAGCAACGCCGCGUGAGUGAAGAAGGUUUUCGGAUCGUAAAGCUCUGUUGUAAGUCAAGAACGAGUGUGAGAGUGGAAAGUUCACACUGUGACGGUAGCUUACCAGAAAGGGACGGCUAACUACGUGCCAGCAGCCGCGGUAAUACGUAGGUCCCGAGCGUUGUCCGGAUUUAUUGGGCGUAAAGCGAGCGCAGGCGGUUUGAUAAGUCUGAAGUUAAAGGCUGUGGCUCAACCAUAGUUCGCUUUGGAAACUGUCAAACUUGAGUGCAGAAGGGGAGAGUGGAAUUCCAUGUGUAGCGGUGAAAUGCGUAGAUAUAUGGAGGAACACCGGUGGCGAAAGCGGCUCUCUGGUCUGUAACUGACGCUGAGGCUCGAAAGCGUGGGGAGCGAACAGGAUUAGAUACCCCGGUAGUCCCAU
This 472-nucleotide ribosomal RNA is filed under the name uncultured organism. Its description in RNAcentral is "partial 16S ribosomal RNA". It matches the Rfam family "Bacterial small subunit ribosomal RNA", at positions 335 to 798 of the family's 1533-position model. The record is from RNAcentral.